GAACAACUCCUGAAUGGAAACUGGAUGAGCAUAUGUAUAUAUAUUUAUAUAACAAUUUCUACAGCAAUAGAAAAAAAUUAUAAAAGUAAUGGAGUAAUCGCUUUGCAAGUUAAAAUAUUUUUCAUAUUUCUCUGCAUGAGGACAUCCAGCGUCAGAUUUUUCCCCAUAGGAAAGCAUUGAUUCAUUGCUUUCCUACGGGGAGGUCUGAUGUGCAUUUGCCGCGCAUGCGCAUUACAACCCGCUCAUGGAGGGGUGGAGCUUCGACCCAGCGCCAGGGACGUUUGUUCAACCCUUUAUUUACCGGGAAGGCUGAGGGAUCGG
Molecule: non-coding RNA, 321 nt
Organism: Pelobates cultripes (western spadefoot toad)
Lineage: Eukaryota; Metazoa; Chordata; Amphibia; Anura; Pelobatidae
Source: the annotation of a GenBank genome assembly